This 364-nucleotide RNase P RNA is filed under the name Gemmatimonadota bacterium. RNAcentral describes it as "Gemmatimonadetes bacterium RNase P RNA component class A". It matches the Rfam family "Bacterial RNase P class A". From Rfam's summary of the family: Ribonuclease P (RNase P) is a ubiquitous endoribonuclease, found in archaea, bacteria and eukarya as well as chloroplasts and mitochondria. Its best characterised activity is the generation of mature 5'-ends of tRNAs by cleaving the 5'-leader elements of precursor-tRNAs. Lineage: Bacteria; Pseudomonadati; Gemmatimonadota. The record is from RNAcentral.
GUGGUGGAGUGGGGCGGUCGCGGCUCGCCCACAGGGCGGGUCGAGGAAAGUCCGAGCUCCACAGGGCGAACUGCCAGGUAACUCCUGGGCGUCGAAAGGCGACGGAAAGGGCCACAGAAAACAAACCGCCCACAUAGGUGGGUAAGGGUGAAAUGGUGGGGUAAGAGCCCACCGCACGGCUGGUAACAGGCGUGGCAUGGCAACCCCCAGUUGGAGCAAGGCCAAAUAGGCAGCGAGGUCUGGCCCGGACCGAAUGAGCUGCGGGUAGGCUGCUGGAGGUAGCGGGUGACCGCUAUCCUAGAUAGAUGACCGCCCGGACGUGCAAGCGUUCGAACAGGACUCGGCUUACGGCUCCACCACCUUU